AGAAGCAGCUUUUGCUUUGCACACCCGAUUUUGGGUCUGUAGCUCAGUUGGUUAGAGCGCACCCCUGAUAAGGGUGAGGUCGGCAGUUCGAAUCUGCCCAGACCCACCAGUUACCUGGUGAAGUUGGUCAGAGCGCGUACGACACCCGGAUACGGGGCCAUAGCUCAGCUGGGAGAGCGCCUGCCUUGCACGCAGGAGGUCAGCGGUUCGAUCCCGCUUGGCUCCACCACUUACUGCUUCUGUUUGAAAGCUUAGAAAUGAGCAUUCCACCCCGAGAGAUUGAAAGGGUGCGUGAAUGUUGAUUUCUAGUCUUUGAUUAGAUCGUUCUUUAAAAAUUUGGGUAUGUGAUAGAAAGAAAUAUAGACCGGGCACCUCUUUCACUGGUGCGUGUCCGGGCUAAGGUAAAGUUUGUGAAAUGCAAACUUUCGG
RNAcentral lists this transfer RNA (429 nucleotides) under Pseudomonas syringae. RNAcentral's name for it is "partial 16S-23S ribosomal RNA intergenic spacer". The stretch from base 33 to 106 matches the Rfam family "tRNA". Lineage: Bacteria; Pseudomonadati; Pseudomonadota; Gammaproteobacteria; Pseudomonadales; Pseudomonadaceae. The record is from RNAcentral.